AUCGCUUCUCGGCCUUUUGGCUAAGAUCAAGUGUAGCAUUUACACUGGCAGUCAGAGCAUCUAGUUUAGACUGCAUUUCAUUCAUAGCUUUUUAAAGUUCAGCUAGAUUAGAUCUCAUUUCAGCCCUUAGAGAUUUGUUGUUUUCAUUAA
RNAcentral lists this small nuclear RNA (150 nucleotides) under Ursus americanus (American black bear). RNAcentral's name for it is "U2 spliceosomal RNA". It matches the Rfam family "U2 spliceosomal RNA". From Rfam's summary of the family: U2 is a small nuclear RNA (snRNA) component of the spliceosome (involved in pre-mRNA splicing). Complementary binding between U2 snRNA (in an area lying towards the 5' end but 3' to hairpin I) and the branchpoint sequence (BPS) of the intron results the bulging out of an unpaired adenosine, on the BPS, which initiates a nucleophilic attack at the intronic 5' splice site, thus starting the first of two transesterification reactions that mediate splicing. RNAcentral also lists the same sequence under 2 other names. The record is from Rfam by way of RNAcentral. Lineage: Eukaryota; Metazoa; Chordata; Mammalia; Carnivora; Ursidae.